Mercenaria mercenaria is the source of this 188-nucleotide long non-coding RNA. RefSeq lists it as uncharacterized. Lineage: Eukaryota; Metazoa; Mollusca; Bivalvia; Venerida; Veneridae. The transcript has 2 exons. The record is from RefSeq and is a predicted model, not a curated record.
AGCUGUGUUUGGAAGAAGUCCGAUAUGUGACAAUACUGCAAGAGGGCCUGAUCAAAAACAUAUCCAGUAUCAUCAACCAUUUUCGAAACCUUCUACUUCAAAAAUUGGAAAUAAUGCCGAUUCUACGAUUCCUGAUAUUUUGUCUAGACGAACCAGCAUUUAAACAGUGGAUACUGCGUUUUAAAUUG